GGUAGGGGAGAUUGGAAUUCCUGGUGUAGCGGUGGAAUGCGCAGAUAUCAGGAGGAACACCGAUGGCGAAGGCAGAUCUCUGGGCCGUAACUGACGCUGAGGAGCGAAAGGGUGGGGAGCAAACAGGCUUAGAUACCCUGGUAGUCCACCCCGUAAACGUUGGGAACUAGUUGUGGGGUCCAUUCCACGGAUUCCGUGACGCAGCUAACGCAUUAAGUUCCCCGCCUGGGGAGUACGGCCGCAAGGCUAAAACUCAAAGGAAUUGACGGGGACCCGCACCAGCGGCGGAGCCUGCGGAUUAAUUCGAUGCAACGCGAAGAACCUUACCAAGGCUUGACAUAUACGAGAACGGGCCAGAAAUGGUCAACUCUUUGGACACUCGUAAACAGGUGGUGCAUGGUUGUCGUCAGCUCGUGUCGUGAGAUGUUGGGUUAAGUCCCGCAACGAGCGCAACCCUCGUUCUAUGUUGCCAGCACGUAAUGGUGGGAACUCAUGGGAUACUGCCGGGGUCAACUCGGAGGAAGGUGGGGAUGACGUCAAAUCAUCAUGCCCCUUAUGUCUUGGGCUUCACGCAUGCUACAAUGGCCGGUACAAAGGGCUGCAAUACCGCGAGGUGGAGCGAAUCCCAAAAAGCCGGUCCCAGUUCGGAUUGAGGUCUGCAACUCGACCUCAUGAAGUCGGAGUCGCUAGUAAUCGCAGAUCAGCAACGCUGCGGUGAAUACGUUCCCGGGUCUUGUACACACCGCCCGUCAAGUCAUGAAAGUCGGUAACACCUGAAGCCGGUGGCCUA
This 790-nucleotide ribosomal RNA is filed under the name Microbacterium foliorum. RNAcentral describes it as "bacterial SSU rRNA". It matches the Rfam family "Bacterial small subunit ribosomal RNA", at positions 650 to 1437 of the family's 1533-position model. The record is from RNAcentral. Lineage: Bacteria; Bacillati; Actinomycetota; Actinomycetes; Micrococcales; Microbacteriaceae.